CAAACAAAAAUAAAUAUCCAGAUCUGCUAAGCCAUAUAUUUUCAGCAGAGUUUCCCAAAACUCAUAGCUUCUGCACAGUCUGCAGGUAACAAAUAUUGUAUUUAAAUAUCUAACUUCAAAGAGAAAUGACUGCAGAAGAAGCUCUGCUUUUCUUUUUAAUUAAAACUUUGAGAAUAUUACUGGAGUGGACCCCAAAAGUUAAAGAGCAGAAGGUAAAUAAAAUGUUAUGUGUCUUAAUGUCUUUGCAGUUGGACCUUACAAUUGCUCGAUCCCGUUAUCUUGGCUCCAAGAGCCAAGGACAUGCGGGAGAUGUUGUGCGUCCGUUUGGAGACGAAGCGGAUAGGCGCAGUGGUGGAGAUGACAAGGGUGUCCACGAAGUGAGAGACUUGCCAGGCUUUCGCGGAUCCUGCUCCUUGCCAGCAGCUGUGAAAAUGAACACUUCUUGCAGCAUGUCCUGGGGAGCAGCACCCAGCAAUCCUGGCUAGCACAGGAGAAGCGCAAGCCCCAGCCUGCAGGCCUUGAGUCACAACACAGAAAGAGGAGGAGGAGGAAGAGAGAGAAAGAGAAAACUAAAAACCCUGAAGGAUGGUUCUCAAAAAUCCUAAAGGAACCACAGGGAAUUCCUUUUGAGCGCCACAGCGAGCCAGCCAGCUGAG
RNAcentral lists this long non-coding RNA (656 nucleotides) under Apteryx owenii (little spotted kiwi). Its description in RNAcentral is "lncRNA (ENSAOWG00000000651.1)". The record is from RNAcentral. Lineage: Eukaryota; Metazoa; Chordata; Aves; Apterygiformes; Apterygidae.